RNAcentral lists this unclassified non-coding RNA (219 nucleotides) under Camarophyllopsis sp. JMB10101304. Its description in RNAcentral is "partial internal transcribe spacer 2". The record is from RNAcentral. Lineage: Eukaryota; Fungi; Basidiomycota; Agaricomycetes; Agaricales; Clavariaceae.
ACAUAUCAAACCAAUCAAAUUUCAUGAUUGGUCUUGGAUGUUGAGGGUUGCUGGACUUUGAUGAUCAGCUCCCUUUAAAUACAUUAGCUUGGAAUGUAUAAGCUGCUUUAGCUUAGGCUGAUAUGAGUAUUUAUUAAAUGCUUUUGCUAAACUGCUUUUCUAUGCUUAUAAUUGUCCUGGGGACUGCCAUAGGCAUUUUAUAAUUUGAUCAUGACCUCA